ACUAGUGUACUGCAGCUGGGCAGGCACACUCCUCGCAGACCCGGCGCUCUCCAAGGAGAAAAGAAAGUUAGUGGGCUUGGGGUACGUUUCCCUUCUUUUCCUAGAAGAGGGUGGCAGGGGGGCUGGCUCAGAAAGAAACCAUCACUGACCAACACUUGGGGUACUCUGUCAAAAUGCUGCUCCUUCCAUACUGAGUCUCUUUGCUCCUCCUCUUUCCCCCAGUCAACCUGGGGUUAAGUGGGAAGGGGAGUAAGGCAACUCCAGGGGAUGCCUUCCAAACUCCGGGAGAGGGAAAGCACAGGAAUUGGGAGAAGACGUGAAGGCAGAGCUUGAACUCCUAUGUACCCGGUGACACAAGACUGCUCUGAGGGUGGCGCCCGCUGCUUCUCCCGGGCGCCCCGCCAGCCGCUCUCCCUGGCAGUGGCGCCCUUUCCUCGCCCUCUGCCCGCCCAAGAGCUGCUGGCCCAGAGCAGCCGCAUUCCCGACCCUCCAAGGCGAAGAUCC
This 504-nucleotide long non-coding RNA is filed under the name Homo sapiens (human). RNAcentral describes it as "non-protein coding lnc-EFEMP1-3:7". Lineage: Eukaryota; Metazoa; Chordata; Mammalia; Primates; Hominidae. The record is from RNAcentral.